UAAUACGGAGGGCGCAAGCGUUGUUCGGAAUUACUGGGCGUAAAGGGCGGGUAGGCGGUCCGUUAAGUCGUUUGUGAAAAUCCGGGGCUCAACCCCGCGAACUGCAGACGAUACUGGCAGACUGGAGACCGGUAGAGGCUAGCGGAAUUCCUGGUGUAGCGGUGGAAUGCGUAGAUAUCAGGAAGAACACCUGUGGCGAAGGCGGCUAGCUGGGCCGGGUCUGACGCUGAACCGCGAAAGCGUGGGGAGCAAACAGGAUUAGAUACCCUGGUAGUCCACGCCGUAAACGAUGGGCACUAGGUACCGGGUCUAUAGACGGAUUCGGUACCGCAGCUAACGCAUUAAGUGCCCCGCCUGGGGAGUACGGUCGCAAGGCUG
RNAcentral lists this ribosomal RNA (378 nucleotides) under uncultured Gemmatimonadota bacterium. RNAcentral's name for it is "bacterial SSU rRNA". It matches the Rfam family "Bacterial small subunit ribosomal RNA", at positions 521 to 896 of the family's 1533-position model. Lineage: Bacteria; Pseudomonadati; Gemmatimonadota. The record is from RNAcentral.